GUAGGUGGCAAGCGUUGUCCGGAAUUAUUGGGCGUAAAGCGCGCGCAGGCGGUUCUUUAAGUCUGAUGUGAAAGCCCACGGCUCAACCGUGGAAGGUCAUUGGAAACUGGAGAACUUGAGUACAGAAGAGGAAAGCGGAAUUCCACGUGUAGCGGUGAAAUGCGUAGAGAUGUGGAGGAACACCAGUGGCGAAGGCGGCUUUCUGGUCUGUAACUGACGCUGAGGCGCGAAAGCGUGGGGAGCAAACAGGGAUUAGAUACCCUGGUAGUCCACGCCGUAAACGAUGGGUGCUAAGUGUUAGGGGGUUUCCCGCCCCUUAGUGCUGCAGCUAACGCAUUAAGCACUCCGCCUGGGGAGUACGGCCGCAAGGCUG
RNAcentral lists this ribosomal RNA (373 nucleotides) under uncultured organism. RNAcentral's name for it is "partial 16S ribosomal RNA". It matches the Rfam family "Bacterial small subunit ribosomal RNA", at positions 527 to 896 of the family's 1533-position model. The record is from RNAcentral.